GAUGAACGCUGGCGGCGUGCCUAAUACAUGCAAGUCGAGCGAACGGACGAUAAGCUUGCUUCUCUGAUGUUAGCGGCGGACGGGCGAGUAACACGUGGAUAACCUACCUAUAAGACUGGGAUAACUUCGUGAAACCGGAGCUAAUACCGGAUAAUAUUUUGAACCGCAUGGUUCAAAAGUGAAAGACGCUCUUGCUGUCACUUAUAGAUGGAUCCGCGCUGCAUUAGCUAGUUGGUAAGGUAACGGCUUACCAAGGCAACGAUGCAUAGCUGACCUGAGAGGGUGAUCGGCCACACUGGAACUGAGACACGGUCCAGACUCCUACGGGAGGCAGCAGUAGGGAAGCUUCCGCAAUGGGCGAAAGCCUGACCGAGCAACGCCGCGUGAGUGAUGAAGGUCUUCGGAUCGUAAAACUCUUUUAUUGGGGAAGAACAGAUGUGUAAGUAACUGUGCACAUCUUGACGGUACCUAAACAGAAAGCCACGGCUAACUACGUG
RNAcentral lists this ribosomal RNA (497 nucleotides) under uncultured bacterium. RNAcentral's name for it is "partial 16S ribosomal RNA". It matches the Rfam family "Bacterial small subunit ribosomal RNA", at positions 28 to 507 of the family's 1533-position model. The record is from RNAcentral.